Molecule: non-coding RNA, 73 nt
Organism: Potamilus streckersoni
Lineage: Eukaryota; Metazoa; Mollusca; Bivalvia; Unionida; Unionidae
Source: the annotation of a GenBank genome assembly
GCUCCAAAGGCCUAGUGGUUAGUGAGUCCGCCUUGGAUAAGGGAGGUCGUGGGUUCGAACCCCGGUUGGCGCU